Molecule: ribosomal RNA, 120 nt
Filed under: Arabidopsis thaliana (thale cress)
Lineage: Eukaryota; Viridiplantae; Streptophyta; Magnoliopsida; Brassicales; Brassicaceae
Source: RNAcentral
AGGGAUGCAACACGAGGACUUUCCUGGAGGUCACCCAUCCUAGUACUACUCUCGCCCAAGCACGCUUAACUGCGGAGUUUUGAUGGGAUCUGGUGCAUUAGUGCUGGUAUGAUCACAUCC